Mesocricetus auratus (golden hamster) is the source of this 108-nucleotide small nuclear RNA. NCBI's taxonomy places the organism in Eukaryota, Metazoa, Chordata, Mammalia, Rodentia, Cricetidae. The record is from RefSeq and is a predicted model, not a curated record.
GUGCUCUCAUCGGCAGCACAUAUACUAAAAACUGGAAUGAUAAAGAGAAGAUUAACAUGGCCCCUGCACAAAGAUGACAUGCAAAUUCAUGAAGCCUUCCAUAAUUUU